Molecule: non-coding RNA, 78 nt
Organism: Podarcis lilfordi (Lilford's wall lizard)
Lineage: Eukaryota; Metazoa; Chordata; Lepidosauria; Squamata; Lacertidae
Source: the annotation of a GenBank genome assembly
UGAGGGAUAGCUCAGUUAGUAGAGCAUGAGACUGUUAAUCUCAGGGCUGUGGGUUUGAGCCCCACAUUGGGUGAAAAA